Molecule: ribosomal RNA, 429 nt
Filed under: Gemmatimonadota bacterium
Lineage: Bacteria; Pseudomonadati; Gemmatimonadota
Description: Gemmatimonadetes bacterium partial 16S ribosomal RNA
Rfam family: Bacterial small subunit ribosomal RNA
Source: RNAcentral
UAGGGAAUCUUCGGCAAUGGACGAAAGUCUGACCGAGCAACGCCGCGUGAGUGAAGAAGGUUUUCGGAUCGUAAAACUCUGUUGUUAGAGAAGAACAAGGACGUUAGUAACUGAACGUCCCCUGACGGUAUCUAACCAGAAAGCCACGGCUAACUACGUGCCAGCAGCCGCGGUAAUACGUAGGUGGCAAGCGUUGUCCGGAUUUAUUGGGCGUAAAGCGAGCGCAGGCGGUUUCUUAAGUCUGAUGUGAAAGCCCCCGGCUCAACCGGGGAGGGUCCUUGGAACCUCUGAGACUUUAGUGCAGUCGCGGAGAGUGUAAUUCCAUGUGUAGCGGUGACAUGCUUAGAUAUAUGGAGGCCCACCAGUGGCGAAGGCGGCUCUCUAGUCUCUAACUGACGCUGAGGCUCGACAGCGUGGGUCGCAAACAUG